Molecule: ribosomal RNA, 253 nt
Filed under: uncultured bacterium
Lineage: Bacteria
Description: partial 16S ribosomal RNA
Rfam family: Bacterial small subunit ribosomal RNA
Source: RNAcentral
UACGUAGGGUGCAAGCGUUGUCCGGAAUUAUUGGGCGUAAAGAGCUCGUAGGCGGUUUGUUGCGUCGGCUGUGAAAUCCCGAGGCUCAACCUCGGGUCUGCAGUCGAUACGAGCAAACUAGAGUGUUGCAGGGGAGACUGGAAUUCCUGGUGUAGCGGUGAAAUGCGCAGAUAUCAGGAGGAACACCGGUGGCGAAAGCGGGUCUCUGGGCAACAACUGACGCUGAGGAGCGAAAGCGUGGGGAGCGAACAGG